AUUGAACGCUGGCGGCAGGCCUAACACAUGCAAGUCGAACGAGUGGCGGACGGGUGAGUAAUGUCUGGGAAACUGCCUGAUGGAGGGGGAUAACUACUGGAAACGGUAGCUAAUACCGCAUACCAUCGGAUGUGCCCAAAUGGGAUUAGCUAGUAGGUGGGGUAACGGCUCACCUAGGCGACGAUCCCUAGCUGGUCUGAGAGGAUGACCGUCCACAUUGGAACUGAGACACGGUCCAGACUCCUACGGGAGGGAGCAGUGGGGAAUAUUGGACAAGUGGCGAAAGGCUUAUCCAGCCAUGCCGCGUGUAUGAAGGAUGCCUUCGGGUUGUAAAGUACUUUCAGCGGGGAGGCGUUACCCGCAGAAGAAGCACCGGCUAACUCCGUGCCAGCAGCCGCGGUAAUUC
Molecule: ribosomal RNA, 406 nt
Filed under: uncultured bacterium
Lineage: Bacteria
Description: partial 16S ribosomal RNA
Rfam family: Bacterial small subunit ribosomal RNA
Source: RNAcentral